UUAAAAUAAUCGGAAAAAGUUGUCUCCCUUUGAAAAUGAAUACCAUUUGUAAAGAAAUAAAGAUAAACGAUUGCUGAAAACUGUGUUCCACCUUGUUAUGCGAACUUUCUCCACUCGCACGCUAUUGCAAAUGCAUCAAAACGAACAUGUGUAACUGUUCUAUGAAAGUGGUGAGUUUUUAAAGGCGUUUAACUAUCCGGAAGUGGAGCUCGUUUAGGUAGUCAUUUUCCGGAAUUCAAUGUUUAUAUCAAUAUACUAACACUUGUUCGUAAAGUAAUAUACAUGUUUUACAUGCUGUUCAAUUUUCAUGUCAAACAACUCUUUCUUUCUAUGACUUGGUGUUGUUUGAUUUUUGUUUCUCAAGGCUUACUUCGAAACCUUAAGACAUAUUAUCUUAUCACAUCCAACGUCAGAACUUCCAGUCAAAUUUGUUUGUUAAGUCAUUUUUUUUUCACAGAGCGAUACCUUUUGAGGAUUUUUAAAUUGCAGUACGCUCUUUUAUUGAGUCAUAAAGAAGUUGAUACGAUCUUAAGAUGCCUUUCAUCUUCCUGUAAUAGAUAUAUGUCUCCGCACUGUUAAUUAGAACAGACAGCAUUUCAUAAUGCAGUAAUAUGUCUUAAGUAUCGUAUUAACUUUCUCCACUUUUAAACCCAAAUGAACAAAUGAAAGUUAACCUAUGACAAGAACACUGAAAAAUAAGACUAAGUGAUAAAAUGAUACCCGUUCGGGGAUAAAACAGUCAUUCUAAAUUCAUCUCCUUAUACGCUAAAACAGAAAUUGAGGACAACCAAUAGAGUGUCACGUUCAGAUGACCUGGUUUUUAAAGCUUUAAAGUAAAAUUAAAAAUACAAAAUGCUUAACUUGAAAAUCUUAGCUUUGAUCCAAGGAAAACGGUUAUAUUUCCCUGAAAACAACAACACAAUCAAGCAUUCAAAGACAAGUAACCCAUACAACAUUCAACACGGAAAUGUAUACAACGCACAAAUGUAAUACGAAUGGAAUAAGUGAAACACAGAUGUAAAAAACAAAAACAAAGAUACAGGAAGUCUUAAUUUAAUACUCUAAUUGGUUGAACAAAUAUUGAUACAGGAAACCUGGCUUUUCAAGAUGAUGAACUUGUCAUUAAACUUUACCGUAGUAAGAUCUAGUACUUUAGUCAAGAUUUUAAAAGUUUUUCGAGGAAAGGUAACCCUUUUUCAUCCGUAAAAAUAUCUUAGCUGAAAUGAAUGUUACAACGCAUCAUUUAUUUUUAGGUAUCAAGACCGUUUUCAUAUUGACGAAAUGCGAUAAAGUCAGUGAAUCUGUGAGGGUAGAUAAAAGAAAGGUCUUUGAAGACAACAGCGUACGAGAUUGCAAAGAGAAACUCAUGGCAAUGUUUUCUCUAAAGAGUCAGACAUUGAUAUAUCCAGUAGUUAACUACGUUGAUGAAAAUAAUACGGAUCUUCCGGUUGAUGCUCUGAUCAUAGCGGCAUUCAAGCAAAUUCUGAAGUUUGGGAAAGAAUGUUUGGAGAUGUUGGAUAACGCUGAAGAAGAAGGCGGUGCAAAUUCAGAGGCAUACAAUUAAGUUUAUAAACAUACAUAUCAUUAUGGAGCGGACACCGAGACAUCUUCUUUCACGAUAAAUAUCGCUGUAUUAAUGUUUAUUAACUGAAGACUGGCCAGCUUCUGUGCUGUAGUUACAGUGCUUAAACCCACAGUCAAGAGCAAAUAUGUUAUGCACAUAACAAGUUAACUAGUAUGAUUUAUUCAGGUAUUGCGCUGACGUAAAGUCUAAUUCCACUAAUCGUUGAAACUGUUUAAUGAUCAUUUAAUGGACUUCGACGAUUUCCUAACCCUACUUUUUAAUAGGCUGCAAAUGGUAUAUUCUCUCAUGUACUGAACCGUUUAAAGGACCUGAAGGUAACAAUCAUACACAGAAAUAGCCGGUAAUAAGUAUCUAGCCUAAGUGAGAGUAUAUUGCAUUUCUUGUUACAAGGGAUAUUUAAGAGGACCGCCCAAGCAGUUAAUAAAGUUCACAUUUACAUUAAUAUUUCCAUAAGAACAAUCCAUUCUUUAAGUUUCAGCAUAUUACUUUGUUAUUCAUAAUUCAUCAAAUUUCUUUCGAAAAGGAGGCAAAUAGCAGGACUUUAGUUUAAGUACAUAUGGAUUUCUAUAUGCAUUAUAAAUACAAUUAAAAAGUCGACCAACACCAAAUGAUUGGUAUCUAAAGGAGAGUCUUACGUCGUGCAUAUUUAUACUACUGGUUAUUAAAGGUUUAUAAACAAAAAUUGAUUCUGUAUGUAUUAAAGUAUCAAUAAGUGAAAUAUCAUUCUAUGCAUCAUGAAUUAUGUAUUGCAAGAACAAUAAUAUUCAAAGAUAAGUCUUUGUCUUUUACAUUUUCGGUCAAUUAUAUCUAAAAAUAAUAUUUGCGUGCGCAUGUAUGCAGGCGAAGAUACCAUUACGUGUCAAAUUCUUCCAAUCAAAAUUGAAGGAUUAUAUUGCUCAAAGUCGUAUAUAUGUACCAAGAAACGUUCAAGUGCAACAACACUUAUUUCUUGAU
Mercenaria mercenaria is the source of this 2539-nucleotide long non-coding RNA. RefSeq lists it as uncharacterized. The record is from RefSeq and is a predicted model, not a curated record. Lineage: Eukaryota; Metazoa; Mollusca; Bivalvia; Venerida; Veneridae. The transcript has 3 exons.